Malus domestica (apple) is the source of this 528-nucleotide non-coding RNA. The record is from RefSeq and is a predicted model, not a curated record. NCBI's taxonomy places the organism in Eukaryota, Viridiplantae, Streptophyta, Magnoliopsida, Rosales, Rosaceae.
UGAGGAGGAGAUGUUUAUGGCAUCCUUGAUCUGCAAUUUGGAUGUCGAUUGUGAGAAGCUUCUAGUAUGCAAACCAGAUCUUGAUUGUAUAAAGACUCUGCAUUUUGACACCGAGGUAAACAGUAGUCUUCGAAAAUGUUACAGUUGGCCCCAAGAAUAUGCAUUGAAUGGUAGCACAAGUGGCGCUUCAGCAACAUACUUCCAGGGGAAAUCCCCGUUUCCAGUUUGGAUGCAUUUGUAGAAUCUGUUGCGACCAUCGGAAAUGUAUCAGGUUGUACCUUGCAGCCUGCAUCAGAAAAGUUUGAUAAUUUUCUGCUGUCACUUUGUAAAUAACUUGCUGCUUCUCUAGGCAAAAUUCGUAGCUGCUGGUAUUGGCUGUCAGAGUUUGCCCUCAUGGUCUAUAGCAUGUCAAGAAAUAGAUACCGUGAGCGAAUUGGCAGACAGCAUAAAAGCAAUCACGUGAUAUACGUUGCCGACCUCAGAAGGGCUGCUUAUUAUCAGAAAUGUCAUGAUCCUGACUGCAGAGGU